GGGGAAUUUUCCGCAAUGGGCGAAAGCCUGACGGAGCAAUACCGCGUGAGGGAGGAAGGCUCUUGGGUUGUAAACCUCUUUUCUCAGGGAAGAAAAAAAUGACGGUACCUGAGGAAUAAGCAUCGGCUAACUCCGUGCCAGCAGCCGCGGUAAUACGGAGGAUGCAAGCGUUAUCCGGAAUGAUUGGGCGUAAAGGGUCCGCAGGUGGCAUUGUAUGUCUGCUGUUAAAGAGUCUGGCUCAACCMSAUYAAAGCMGUGGAAACUACAAAGCUAGAGUAUGGUCGGGGCAGAGGGAAUUCCUGGUGUAGCGGUGAAAUGCGUAGAUAUCAGGAAGAAC
RNAcentral lists this ribosomal RNA (337 nucleotides) under uncultured cyanobacterium. RNAcentral's name for it is "bacterial SSU rRNA". It matches the Rfam family "Bacterial small subunit ribosomal RNA", at positions 356 to 707 of the family's 1533-position model. The record is from RNAcentral. Lineage: Bacteria; Bacillati; Cyanobacteriota.